Molecule: ribosomal RNA, 374 nt
Filed under: uncultured bacterium
Lineage: Bacteria
Description: bacterial SSU rRNA
Rfam family: Bacterial small subunit ribosomal RNA
Source: RNAcentral
AUACGGAGGGUGCAAGCGUUGUUCGGAAUUAUUGGGCGUAAAGGGUGCGCAGGCGGCCAUUUAAGUCAGAUGUGAAAGGCUACGGCUUAACCGUAGUUAGCAUUUGAAACUAGAAGGCUUGAGUGCAGUAGAGGAGAGUGGAAUUCCUAGUGUAGCGGUGAAAUGCGUAGAUAUUAGGAGGAACACCAGUGGCGAAGGCGACUCUCUGGACUGCAACUGACGCUGAGGCACGAAAGCGUGGGUAGCGAACAGGAUUAGAUACCCUGGUAGUCCACGCCGUAAACGAUGAGUGCUAGGUGUUGGAGGAGACAUCCUUCAGUGCCGGAGCUAACGCAUUAAGCACUCCGCCUGGGGAGUACGUACGCAAGUAUGAA